This 301-nucleotide ribosomal RNA is filed under the name uncultured bacterium. Its description in RNAcentral is "partial 16S ribosomal RNA". It matches the Rfam family "Bacterial small subunit ribosomal RNA", at positions 509 to 807 of the family's 1533-position model. The record is from RNAcentral.
CAGCAGCCGCGGGAAUACGAGGGGGGCAAGCGUUGUUCGGAUUUAUUGGGCGUAAAGGGUGCGUAGGCGGUUUGGCAAGUCUUGUGUGAAAUCUUCGGGCUCAACCCGAAGCCUGCACGAGAAACUACCGGGCUUGAGUAUUGGAGAGGUGAGUGGAAUUUCCGGUGUAGCGGUGAAAUGCGUAGAUAUCGGAAGGAACACCUGUGGCGAAAGCGGCUCACUGGACAAUAACUGACGCUGAUGCACGAAAGCUAGGGGAGCAGACAGGAUUAGAUACCCGCGUAGUCCCUGUCUCUUAUAC